Non-coding RNA from Acanthosepion pharaonis, 101 nucleotides. NCBI's taxonomy places the organism in Eukaryota, Metazoa, Mollusca, Cephalopoda, Sepiida, Sepiidae. The record is from the annotation of a GenBank genome assembly.
UUACGGUCAUAUCAUGUUGAAACACCUGUUCUCGUCCGAUCACCAAAAUUAAGCUACGUUGAACCUGGUCAGUACCCAAAUGGGUGACCAAUGGGAGUUUG